AGCUGUUGACCCUGAGUGGGAGAAUGUCUUAUCCAGGUGUAGUCUUGUGCACACCUUUCCAGACCCAUAGCAGUGGUUUGGUUGCAGAGCUGUGAUUAUAUGGACAUUCUCCACACUUGGUAUACAGCAGUUCAGACAUGCAGCCCCAUUGGAAUGUGCUGAUAGAGAUAUACUUUUAAUUAUUCGGCUUCAUUAUAUUAUGAUUGGAUUUGAUGAUUCAUGUAUGGCCCUUCUUGAAAAAGAUCCUGAUUUUUGGAUCGAAACGUCGAAACCUUUGAGGCUACAAUAAAAAAUUUCUAUUGAAGAAAUGUGUGGACUUUAUACACAG
Pseudophryne corroboree (corroboree frog) is the source of this 328-nucleotide long non-coding RNA. RefSeq lists it as uncharacterized. The record is from RefSeq and is a predicted model, not a curated record. Lineage: Eukaryota; Metazoa; Chordata; Amphibia; Anura; Myobatrachidae. The transcript has 3 exons.